This is a long non-coding RNA of Syngnathoides biaculeatus (alligator pipefish), 2374 nucleotides long. RefSeq lists it as uncharacterized. Lineage: Eukaryota; Metazoa; Chordata; Actinopteri; Syngnathiformes; Syngnathidae. The transcript is spliced from 4 exons. The record is from RefSeq and is a predicted model, not a curated record.
CUCCCUCAGCCGGAGUUGCGCACGCGUGUAUCGGAUUACAGUGCAGGCACCUCGGCCGGGCUCCACCGCACCGGCCCCCUUCCCUGAUUAAAGAGCAGUUCCAACCCCCCACCCUCCACCCUCUCCACUGCCUUCCCGCAUUUCUUCACGCGUGACCUCGUAGCUUCCAUUUCAGCAGACAUAUUGAUGGUGACUUUUUCCAAUCCAAGUGGCAAAACAAAAAUGGAAGCAAGGUGUCUUCUCCCAAAGGGGGCACUCGAGUGGAAAAGGAAAUAGUGAGACCGGUGGAAUAUAUGUGCCGAGGAAGUGACGUUUACCGGUCCGGCCCUGUUAGCGCUGUACUAGCUCUGAUUUUUCCAGCCAACCAUUUAUCAAGCAGCCCGCAAAAGGGAGAAAAAGAAUAGUGGACGACCACCGGUGGACAGCUCGCAUUUAUCUGGAGCAACACAAGCGGAGCCGACGUAGAGUAAUGCAAACGCGCACUCCCUGUGGCCUCAUCAAUAAGUUUUAUUACUUACGGGAAGCUGCGGUAAACGAUUUUGUCAAUGGCGAGCACGUCCCGCGCCGACGUCCUCAUUUAAUGCAGGAAGGGAGGCCGGCCGGCUAACGCUCGCGUGUUCGCGCAUACGCUAAGCGAUGGGCAAAAAAUGAGGGGAAACUCGCCUUUGCGGUGACAUUUUUGGAUCCAGCUAAAAUAAACUUUACAGGUGAACUUCAUUUGACCUCCUCUAAACUCCGGCUCGCACAUCUGGUUAAAUUCACAACAGGUGGUUGAUGCAGCCGAAUACACAGAGACUGGAAGAGUUACAGAAAGGGAUAGAGCUCGUGGACCUACUUCACCAAAGUCACGUGACCGGCCAUUUUGACGGUCUAGCAAAGCAUUCUUCAAUGCUAUGUUGGUUGGUCGACGACGCGAAAAUACGUCUCAUAGCACGACACCCAGAGUUUUGUCUGAUACCGUUAAACAUUAAGAAGGUGAUAAUAAACAAAGGUACGUGGAAAAAUGAGAGACACUUGGCAUAGAGGACCCACAUUUAAUGCCAAAGUCGAUGUUUUUGCCGAUGGGAAAGUGGAUGGUUAACCCGCUUCCGCUUGUCUUGGACAACUGGAUCUACACACGGAUCUGGUGAGUUAAGUCGUCGAGAUUUACACGGAAGUGUUUGAAAGCGUAGAAAAGUAUGGACGCAUACAAAUACUUGUUGCGGGAUCUGUUCUCAAUCAAGAAUAAAUCCCACAUAGCGAUGGAGCCACUCAGAUUUUCUUCAACACAAAUACCAAUAUUUAAAUAAAUGAACCUUGGUUUUACACAAACUCACAUUCAUUAACUAUGAUUGGGAAAAAAAAGACAGCAAGUCGGCUCCUCCGUACACACUGCGUGUUGCAGCCACAAGUUAAACUUUGGUAAACCUCUCCAUGACAGACUUUUUUUAAAAAUAUGCAUUGUUCUCAAAUGAGUCCAAUGCCUAUUUAAAAAAAGAAAAUAAACAACUGGGAUAGGCUUCAGCCCCCGUACACGAAAGCGUGUUGCAGCCACACAUUAACAUGUGUAAACAUCGCAGUGACCGUCAGUUUAUUUUCUUUUUUUAAUUACGCAUUGGACUCAUUUGAGAAUAAUGCAUAUUAAAAAAAAAAAACGUCUGUCGGGGGUGACGUUUACCGAAGUUUAAAGUGUGGCCGCAACACAUUUCCGUGUACGGUGGAGAUGACUCCCAGUCUUUUUUUUUUUAACACAUUGUUCUCAAAUGAGUCAACUUGGCAUUAUAAAUACUUCUUGGGAAUUUGAGAUUGAGAAGAAUAAUUCCUACCUAACGUGAAAUGAUGGCUACACAGUUGUGUGUAUUUGGUUGGGCACCAUCCAUCAUGUUUUAUUGGCGAAAUCCAUCAAACUUUUCUGGUCUUUUCAGCUGGUAUUCCAUAGAAUGAUCUCUUUGAAUAUCUGUCUCGUCUGUUGUAACAACCAACAGCACAACAAGUCUCGGGCGUUGUGAAUAUUCUGCUCCGGUUCAAUGUCCCCCACACUGUCGAGCACCUCUUUUUGACCAGCAAUAUGGCGCCGUGAAAAUGGCGGCGUUACGUGCACGAGCUCUAUAGAAGUCGAUGUCUUGCGCGCAUAAGCGAGCGCCGACGUAGACGCAUAUUUGUGAAGAUUUAUACAGCCGAGAUUUCAUCACACAAAUUCCCACUUGAACGUGCCAGGAAACAAGCAAAGACAUAAAUGAUGCGCAAAAAAUAGGAAGCCAUCUGUUUCCACUUUGACUGCCCCCCCUCAAAAAAAAAUGCAUAGGCUGAAAUAUAAAUGAGAUCCCCCAGCACGUGUGAGUCGUCCAUCUUGCUUUGCAUAGUUUGUCGCGCAUAGGUACGUGCGCAAUUGCAC